This 253-nucleotide ribosomal RNA is filed under the name uncultured bacterium. RNAcentral's name for it is "partial 16S ribosomal RNA". It matches the Rfam family "Bacterial small subunit ribosomal RNA", at positions 524 to 776 of the family's 1533-position model. The record is from RNAcentral.
UACGAAGGGGGCGAGCGUUGUUCGGAUUUACUGGGCGUAAAGGGCGCGCAGGCGGCGAUCUUUGUCAGGCGUGAAAGCCCCGGGCUUAACCUGGGAACUGCGCUUGGGACGGGAUUGCUGGAGACCGGGAGAGGAGAGUGGAAUUCCCAGUGUAGCGGUGAAAUGCGUAGAUAUUGGGAGGAACACCAGUGGCGAAGGCGGCUCACUGGACCGGUACUGACGCUGAUGCGCGAAAGCGUGGGGAGCAAACGGG